GAUGAACGCUGGCGGCGUGCCUAAUACAUGCCAGUCGAGCGAACAGACGAGGAGCUUGCUCCUCUGACGUUAGCGGCGGACGGGUGAGUAACACGUGGAUAACCUACCUAUAAGACUGGGAUAACUUCGGGAAACCGGAGCUAAUACCGGAUAAUAUAUUCAACCGCAUGGUUCAAUAGUGAAAGACGGUUUUGCUGUCACUUAUAGCUGGAUCCGCGCCGCAUUAGCUAGUUGGUAAGGUAACGGCUUACCAAGGCGACGAAGCGUAGCCGGCCUGAGAGGGUGAUCGGCCACACUGGAACUGAGACACGGUCCAGACUCCUACGGGAGGCAGCAGUAGGGAAUCUUCCGCAAUGGGCGAAAGCCUGACGGAGCAACGCCGCGUGAGUGAUGAAGGUCUUCGGAUCGUAAAACUCUGUUAUUAGGGAAGAACAAAUGUGUAAGUAACUAUGCACGUCUUGACGGUACCUAAUCAGAAAGCCACGGCUAACUACGUG
Molecule: ribosomal RNA, 497 nt
Filed under: uncultured bacterium
Lineage: Bacteria
Description: partial 16S ribosomal RNA
Rfam family: Bacterial small subunit ribosomal RNA
Source: RNAcentral